Molecule: long non-coding RNA, 1002 nt
Filed under: Sus scrofa (pig)
Lineage: Eukaryota; Metazoa; Chordata; Mammalia; Artiodactyla; Suidae
Description: lncRNA (ENSSSCG00040018540.1)
Source: RNAcentral
GGUUAAGCCAACAUUGGAUGCCAUGCCUUCCUGCAAGGGGAGUGAUUUUAACUAUGGCUAGAUUUGGUCCAUUAACGCUCCGUGAAGGAUUUGGGGUCUGUGUUCCUGAGGCUUAUCGGGCCAUGGCUUCUUUUCUUGUGAUGCCUUUGGCUGGAUUAUCCAGAUAAUUCUUCACCGAAUGAAUCGAGCUGCAGUCCCUCCGCUUCAGUUUUCGGAGUGGUUUGUGAAAGUUCCUUGGGCGGCGAAGGCCCGACCCCACCAGCUGUUUACAAUCCAUCAUCCAGCAGUUUCCAUGUGGUUGUCAUGCUGCUUGUGACGGGAAAGAGAAUCUCGGUGUCCAAAUACUGGACUUGCAGCUUCAUAAAUCAGGAAGCUCUCGCCAUUCAAAUCAUCAUAUUGACAGCAAAUUUGCAUAAUUUUCCUAGUUUGCUUUGCGGUUGAGGUCAGGUCUCUCCUGUUCUCAGUGGGUGGCCCCUGGGAAGCGGCCAAGUGGGGGCCUUAAACUGGGGGGGCAUCAGAGGCGCUUGGAGGGGUGAGAGAAGCCUGGGCGGAUGUGUGUGGGGGGUCUCUCUGGGGAGCAGCUUGCCAGGCCUCAGUGACAAUGCCUACCCACGGUGGCACAGCCCAGGAGAGCUGGGGUCUUCCCCGGAGACAGCAGGGACCUUCCUCCAGAGCAGGGUCUCGUGCCAACUGAUAAAUGGGCAGAGGCCAAAAGCGGGUAGUUCAGAGCUGUGACAUCCAAAUGGCUACUACGUAUAUGAAAAAUGAUUUUCUCACCAGGAAUCAGAAAUGCAAAGCCAAGCAAUACGGCCCUCGUGUGUCAUCCUCUGGGCUGAUGGUGUGACGGCCGAGAGCCUUGUUCAGCUCUGCCUCCUGGGACGGAACCGGCCGGUGUCCUUCCACACACUCCUUUGGGCCUGUCCACGCUGCUCUUGUCAAGCUGUCCCCAGGACAACGGAAAUGGACAACAGCGCUGCGCCUCUCGUGGCGCUGCGUGUCAUC